CAGGGCUUUGUAACGUACACCUUGUUAAUCGAGAAUGAAAAGGAGAUUUUUGUUACCUUGUCCGCACUUUGCGUCAAAUUGUCGCCUGCCGAACUUCUUUCAUUCACUAUUGUUAUUGUUGUAUUCCCCUCCUUUUUUUUGUUCGAUGCCGAUGUUGUCUGGAGGUUCCUGAUCAUCGCCACGUCGGCUUGCUUUUCUUGUCAUCUUUCUUCUUCAGCCUCAAGGGCUCUGUAAUGCAUACUUAGU
RNAcentral lists this long non-coding RNA (246 nucleotides) under Elaeis guineensis (African oil palm). RNAcentral's name for it is "long non-coding RNA (EGUI_LNC082485)". The record is from RNAcentral. Lineage: Eukaryota; Viridiplantae; Streptophyta; Magnoliopsida; Arecales; Arecaceae.